UCACUGGUGAUGGGCUAGGCACGUCCAAUAAUAAACGAGACUCAGGGAAUCAGAGAAUCACAGGAUUGGAAGGGACUUUAAGAAUGAUGAUCAAAUUCAUCCCUCACUCAAGCCUUUAAUCUCCCUUUCAACAUCUCUGGCAAAGGCUCUACACUGUGUGUUAAAAAAAUUCCCUGGUAUGGGACAUGCAAGGAAGACAUCCCAUUCCAAUUUAGGACCAAUCUAAUUUUUAGACACUGCUUUCAUGUGUUAAACCCAAGUAGGCUUCUUGGUGGAAAGGAGAUAAUGCUUAAAGGCAAAAAUACAAACCACAACCCUGGAGGGUUGACAUGUGGUUCUUGGUUAAGAAACUGAGCUGAAGUUUAAACAGGAAUGCAGAUGUUUCUGGACUCAGUUUUGGACUGAGUAGAUCUUUGAGUCCUACAAGGAAAAGGCAAAUGAUGUGACAGCAAAGACAGGCGCUGCCAUGCCCCUGCACGGUGUUCCUGCCUCCACAGGGCCAGGUCUCCCAGAGAGACCUGUACCUGAAUUGAUGAAACUCUCUGCCUUCCCCUUGCAAGUGCCCCUGUAAGGAGGACCUCCCACAUUGUACUGGAAUCAUCUGUGACUUGCAAGAGCAGGAAGUGGAGGGCAGCAGCUGCCUGUGUCUGCACCCAAACAGUCGGCACCGCCUGUCUGUGCAACGCCACACUUGACUAGAACAAUCCCCUCCUGCCGCAGGGCCAGGGCUUUCCUUUUCCACAGUGGAGCAGCUGAGCCCAGCACACCUUUGGCGUUAGUCUGUGAGUCCUUCCUGGUUGUGGGCCGUCCACUAAUAGUCUCCACCUCCUCCUCUCAGACUCCAGUGAGAGGCUGUGCACCCAAAGAUCCAGAAUUAGUUACCCUGGGUCACCUUCAGUUAACAGUUCUAGGGAUUUCCAAAGAAAAAGAAACUGAUACUAUUAUAAUAUAAACUAAUAGUAGCAUUGGCUGCAGGAGGAGCCUCUGGGGAAACCCCUGGCGGUGAGCUGUGUGCUGCUUUCCUCUGAGGCCAGGGAGCAGCAGCAUCUGAGAGUGACGAGCUCAGUUCCGGGAUGGCAGCUGAGCCACUUGGCUGUUCUCCGGCAGCUCCAGCCCACUUGUGAUCCCUGGACACACCACACUGACUCCAGCUCUCAGGCCUUUGUUUAUGCUGUUUCUGAAGCCUGGAAAGUCAUUUCCAUUUUUCCCCCUUAUGACUCACUCCUCGUCCUUUAACACUGAGCUCAAAGUCCCUUUCCUCUGUGAAGCCCCUCCUGCCACACCUGCUGGAUUAGUGGCACCCUGGCAUGCCUCUAUCAUGACCACAUUGCACUGAAAAGACCCAUUUACUCACUGUGUGACCUCUGCCCAGCCUGAGGAUGGGCCUCAGACACCUUGCACUGCCAGUACCUAAAGCCUGGUGGCUGGUGAGCGCUCAACACGGUUGACAUGGACAUUCAAAUCUCAGGGAUCAUCUAGAUAACUCAGUGUUCAACAUGAACUUAAUUUCUGUGUUUUCCAGUCAAGUUAAUAUCUGUGUUUGUACCAGGAAAAAUUCAAUAUUUGAAAGGAGAAAAAAUAAGAAUGUAUUGGUAAAAUGCUUUCUUUCACUUCCAAAUAUCUUAGUGAACAAGAACACUGACACAGAAUUAAAAUUCUACGAACAGCCAUAACCAAAGGAAUCUCAUUUAGUGAAUAUUUAUGUCCAGUAACUGCAACCCACACUUAGAGCUAUCCUUUUGCUUAAAAACAAAAAUUUUGGCCUUAAGAAGUGAUUAAUAUCAGGCAAAAAUAAAUUAUACUUUUAUUUAUUUAUUCAGGGCCUUGCUCUGCUGCCCAGGCUAGACUGCAGUGGUGCAAUCAUAGCUCACUGCAUCCUUGUAUUCCUGGGCUCGAGUGAUCCUCCUGCCUCAGCUUCCUGAGUAGCUGGGAAUACAGGUGUGUGUCACCACACCCAACUAAGUUUUGAAUUUUUGGUAGCGACAGGAUCUUGCUGUGUUGCCCAGACUGGUCUUGAACUCCUGGGCUCAGCAAUCCUCCCACCUUGUCCUCCCAAAGUGUUCAGAUUCUAGGUGUGGGCCAUGGCACCUGGCCUAUACUCUUAUAAAAUGAAUCUCAGAAAAUGAAAAUGUGAUAUUCCAUAAGGGCAGUGCUGUAAGCCUGGGAAUUGCAGCCAAAUGGGGCAGGGGGAAUUUUAAGUGCCGCUGGAUUUCCAUUUCAGUUUUGCCUCUGGGGUGGUCUGAGGGGAAUGUAUAGGAAGGAAUUUAUGUGGAUGAAGGCAAUAAUUACCUCCCCCACCACAGGGCUGGAGCCAAAAAAAGUGUCACAUAUGCUUUCGAUAAGAGGAACAAAGCUGGUUCCAGAGAGCGCCCUGUCUCAAGGUGCUGAAAGUCUCUCCUCCCACUCAUGCCGUUACUAAGUAAUGUUCAAAAACAGCUAUUCCUUGAACAUUCUUUUAGAUUCUCUUGUUUACAUCUCAGCCAUAUCUAACUGCCCCGUAUAACUAAUGUGUUUUCUGCUUGGAACACUCUAGAUCUCUGAAGAUCCCUUCCAGUUUUGUGACUUUAUGAUUUCUGGAAUAAUUAAAACAACCAAAUAAGAAACACGUUAUGGUGGAUUGACCUCAUACAAAAUGACAUAAGAUUCCAAAUGCUUAAUCUCAAACCAUUUUGCUAUUGUGAAGACACAUUCAGGCAGUAAUGUCAAGUAAUGUCAUUCGUUUGGAGGAACCAAGAGCAUGUGGUUGGUUUUGCCCCAUCAGGUAGAGAACAACUCUGUGUAUGAUAUGUGUAGAUCUGCCACUUUCUCAGCGCAGGCAUGUUAGGCAUUAUUUGUAAGAGCUGCUAUAUGUUUAAGUAAUAAGAGCAAAAAUAUAUGUAAAGUGCAAAUCCAACAGGGUAAAACAAGAAUUAUGAGAGUUCACCUAGACAGAACAAGAGCCAAGUGCUGGCGCCAGCUUUUACUCCUAAGGAAUGGAGCCUCCAUUUCCAUAAAAUGCUUGGAAGACACCCAACACCAGCACAUAUUUCUCUACAAAUUACAAAAAUGGGGGAGACACUUAAUGCAAAACUCAAGAAUUCACAGUAUUACAAACACACAGUUGGUUUGCUAAACGCAUUUCACCAAAUUCAAGCACCCACACAGAUAAGAGAAAAGGAAAUAGCAAUGGAUACCUUGAAUAUCUGUGCUUUUCUGAUCAUGAUUCUCAACACCAGUGGGAUGUGAAGUGGCUUCAGCCUCUGAGUGGCUCUGUGGGCUGGGAGGGAGAAGGCAGAGUGGCAUGCAAGGUCACAGGCCAGAGCGACUAUAGAGGACAUAUGUGAUCACACGGGGACAACUCUGCUUCCCGAAUGAUGUCUGAAUGCAUCUAGACCCAUCUCAGAACCCAUACAGGCUUGCUGGGUGCUUGGGCCUUUGCUGCCCUAAUACUGUGUUCCUCUCUCUGUAGGCAGGCCAAGCUCAAAGUUUAGGAAGGGAAAAUGGAGUGAUUCAGCUCUAUUACUCAUUUCCAACACACAGUCCUAUAUUACAUACACCUUAGUAAGUGGCUGCAGCUUCUAGUAAUAAACUACAAAAUAGAUAUUUGAAUAUUUUAAAUUUAAUUCCCUUGUUAAACCUCUCUCACAGAGUAAUCAUGCAGAAAAGACUCAAAGUAGUUAUAACAGUUUUGACUGACGCAAGCAAGGGUAUUCUGGACCAGGGCAGCGAGGCAACAAGUGCUAACAGCCUGUGCGGGGCAUGCGUGUGUGCCUCUUCAGAGCUCCAGUCACAUGGGCUGAGCCGGUCUGAUGGCUCAGGUGACAGCUUCCAUGUACCGUGGCUGCAUGGGACACAGGCACUGGUCCUGCUUCCCAAUGCUGGGGCAGCAGAAUCACCUCUAGCAAGGCCCCAUCCCUGGGAAGCACACGUAGGGGCAGUACCCGAGGACAGCUUGUAGUACUUCCCCCUAGUUAAAGAAGUAAUGAAUGAUUGUGAGGGCAAAAAACAGCUUUCCAGGAAAAGAGGGAAAAUAAUAGGGAGGAUUUCAAUUUCACUCCCAUGUGUAUUACCACCAAAAAACCUGUAAAAUCAGAAGACAGCAAGACACUGUGGGGUGGGGCUUGGGUCGGGAAGGACAAGCAAUUGGCCUGUGAUCCUCAAGAGACUGGUGAGCUCCCUGAUGCUCCCGACACAUGAGGUUGAAUGAGCUGUGCGUGUAAAGUGCUUAGGAGGGGCAGGCACCUGGCGCAGGCUUGCCAUUAAUUUUUAUUCUAUUUUUACAGGUGAAAAUAAGAUUUUUAAAAGGGACUUUAAUAUCCUGAGUUGAAUCACUACACACAAGAAUAUUUCAUUUUCUCAAGCUUGAUUGGAUUCCCUUAGAAAUAAGAACUCUUCAGGUUCACUUUCUAAAGUCCUCUUUUCCAUUUC
This is a long non-coding RNA of Pongo abelii (Sumatran orangutan), 4407 nucleotides long. NCBI's taxonomy places the organism in Eukaryota, Metazoa, Chordata, Mammalia, Primates, Hominidae. The record is from Ensembl.